This 1552-nucleotide ribosomal RNA is filed under the name Escherichia coli. RNAcentral's name for it is "bacterial SSU rRNA". It matches the Rfam family "Bacterial small subunit ribosomal RNA". RNAcentral also lists the same sequence under 5 other names. Lineage: Bacteria; Pseudomonadati; Pseudomonadota; Gammaproteobacteria; Enterobacterales; Enterobacteriaceae. The record is from RNAcentral.
AAAUUGAAGAGUUUGAUCAUGGCUCAGAUUGAACGCUGGCGGCAGGCCUAACACAUGCAAGUCGAACGGUAACAGGAAGAAGCUUGCUUCUUUGCUGACGAGUGGCGGACGGGUGAGUAAUGUCUGGGAAACUGCCUGAUGGAGGGGGAUAACUACUGGAAACGGUAGCUAAUACCGCAUAACGUCGCAAGACCAAAGAGGGGGACCUUCGGGCCUCUUGCCAUCGGAUGUGCCCAGAUGGGAUUAGCUAGUAGGUGGGGUAACGGCUCACCUAGGCGACGAUCCCUAGCUGGUCUGAGAGGAUGACCAGCCACACUGGAACUGAGACACGGUCCAGACUCCUACGGGAGGCAGCAGUGGGGAAUAUUGCACAAUGGGCGCAAGCCUGAUGCAGCCAUGCCGCGUGUAUGAAGAAGGCCUUCGGGUUGUAAAGUACUUUCAGCGGGGAGGAAGGGAGUAAAGUUAAUACCUUUGCUCAUUGACGUUACCCGCAGAAGAAGCACCGGCUAACUCCGUGCCAGCAGCCGCGGUAAUACGGAGGGUGCAAGCGUUAAUCGGAAUUACUGGGCGUAAAGCGCACGCAGGCGGUUUGUUAAGUCAGAUGUGAAAUCCCCGGGCUCAACCUGGGAACUGCAUCUGAUACUGGCAAGCUUGAGUCUCGUAGAGGGGGGUAGAAUUCCAGGUGUAGCGGUGAAAUGCGUAGAGAUCUGGAGGAAUACCGGUGGCGAAGGCGGCCCCCUGGACGAAGACUGACGCUCAGGUGCGAAAGCGUGGGGAGCAAACAGGAUUAGAUACCCUGGUAGUCCACGCCGUAAACGAUGUCGACUUGGAGGUUGUGCCCUUGAGGCGUGGCUUCCGGAGCUAACGCGUUAAGUCGACCGCCUGGGGAGUACGGCCGCAAGGUUAAAACUCAAAUGAAUUGACGGGGGCCCGCACAAGCGGUGGAGCAUGUGGUUUAAUUCGAUGCAACGCGAAGAACCUUACCUGGUCUUGACAUCCACGGAAGUUUUCAGAGAUGAGAAUGUGCCUUCGGGAACCGUGAGACAGGUGCUGCAUGGCUGUCGUCAGCUCGUGUUGUGAAAUGUUGGGUUAAGUCCCGCAACGAGCGCAACCCUUAUCCUUUGUUGCCAGCGGUCCGGCCGGGAACUCAAAGGAGACUGCCAGUGAUAAACUGGAGGAAGGUGGGGAUGACGUCAAGUCAUCAUGGCCCUUACGACCAGGGCUACACACGUGCUACAAUGGCGCAUACAAAGAGAAGCGACCUCGCGAGAGCAAGCGGACCUCAUAAAGUGCGUCGUAGUCCGGAUUGGAGUCUGCAACUCGACUCCAUGAAGUCGGAAUCGCUAGUAAUCGUGGAUCAGAAUGCCACGGUGAAUACGUUCCCGGGCCUUGUACACACCGCCCGUCACACCAUGGGAGUGGGUUGCAAAAGAAGUAGGUAGCUUAACCUUCGGGAGGGCGCUUACCACUUUGUGAUUCAUGACUGGGGUGAAGUCGUAACAAGGUAACCGUAGGGGAACCUGCGGUUGGAUCACCUCCUUACCUUAAAGAA